This 475-nucleotide ribosomal RNA is filed under the name uncultured bacterium. RNAcentral describes it as "SSU rRNA". It matches the Rfam family "Bacterial small subunit ribosomal RNA", at positions 26 to 518 of the family's 1533-position model. The record is from RNAcentral.
AGGACGAACGCUGGCGGCGUGCUUAGCACAUGCAAGUCGAGCGGAAAGGCCCUUCGGGGUACUCGAGCGGCGAACGGGUGAGUAACACGUGAGUAAUCUGCCCCUAGCUCUGGGAUAGCUCCGGGAAACCGGGAUUAAUACCGGAUACGACCACUUUAGACAUCUGUUGUGGUGGAAAGAAUUUUGGCUAGGGAUGAGCUCGCGGCCUAUCAGCUUGUUGGUGGGGUAACGGCCUACCAAGGCGACGACGGGUAGCCGGCCUGAGAGGGCGACCGGCCACGACCUGGGACUGAGACACGGCCCAGACUCCUACGGGAGGCAGCAGUGGGGAAUAUUGCGCAAUGGGCGAAAGCCUGACGCAGCGACGCCGCGUGGGGGAUGAAGGCCUUCGGGUUGUAAACCCUUUCAGCAGGGACGAAGCGAAAGUGACGGUACCUGCAGAAGAAGCGCCGGCUAACUACGUGCCAGCAGCCGC